CCUACGGGGGCAGCAGUGGGGAAUAUUGGACAAUGGGCGAAAGCCUGAUCCAGCCAUGCCGCGUGUGUGAAGAAGGCCUUCGGGUUGUAAAGCACUUUCAGUGGGGAAGAAAGCCUUGGGGCUAAUACCCUCGAGGAAGGACAUCACCCACAGAAGAAGCACCGGCUAACUCCGUGCCAGCAGCCGCGGUAAUACGGAGGGUGCGAGCGUUAAUUGGAAUUACUGGGCGUAAAGCGCGCGUAGGCGGUCUGAUAAGCCGGUUGUGAAAGCCCCGGGCUCAACCUGGGAACGGCAUCCGGAACUGUCAGGCUAGAGUGCAGGAGAGGAAGGUAGAAUUCCCGGUGUAGCGGUGAAAUGCGUAGAGAUCGGGAGGAAUACCAGUGGCGAAGGCGGCCUUCUGGACUGACACUGACGCUGAGGUGCGAAAGCGUGGGUAGCAAACAGGAUUAGAUACCCUUGUAGUC
This 464-nucleotide ribosomal RNA is filed under the name Vreelandella stevensii. Its description in RNAcentral is "partial 16S ribosomal RNA". It matches the Rfam family "Bacterial small subunit ribosomal RNA", at positions 338 to 795 of the family's 1533-position model. Lineage: Bacteria; Pseudomonadati; Pseudomonadota; Gammaproteobacteria; Oceanospirillales; Halomonadaceae. The record is from RNAcentral.